UAGCUCAGUUGGUAGAACAUGGGACUCUCAACCCCAGGGUCGUGGGUUCGAGCCCCAC
Molecule: transfer RNA, 58 nt
Filed under: Oryctolagus cuniculus (rabbit)
Lineage: Eukaryota; Metazoa; Chordata; Mammalia; Lagomorpha; Leporidae
Rfam family: tRNA
About the family: Transfer RNA (tRNA) molecules are approximately 80 nucleotides in length. Their secondary structure includes four short double-helical elements and three loops (D, anti-codon, and T loops).
Source: Rfam by way of RNAcentral